This is a non-coding RNA of Pelobates cultripes (western spadefoot toad), 1443 nucleotides long. The record is from the annotation of a GenBank genome assembly. NCBI's taxonomy places the organism in Eukaryota, Metazoa, Chordata, Amphibia, Anura, Pelobatidae.
GCCUGGGAGUCGGACCGUCCACACUGUCGCGGUCCCCUUCGUGAGCCUAUAUCAGAGAAACAGAAAAAUGACUCCUCCGUACCAACUUCACACACCUCUGAAACUGCUUUUUUGGAUGAAAAUCAAUGCAUACAUCUGCUUUUUUAGGGGUUCGACUGGACUCCUCCCCAACCUGGAAAAAAAAACAAGAAGAGAGGGAAAUAAACACACAUGCUUAAAACAGAUACCAGAGGUCAGCUCAGAGAUGACAGGCAUGGCUCCCGAUGAACAGACAGAAGAGGUAUUUAACCUGUCUGACUAUAAUUUAUCAACCACUGAGGUAAAACUCCUUUCUUGGGGAUUGUCAUUUUGCCCUAGUGUGCCCAUCUUUGAUGUCAAUAUGCGGAUUGACUUCUUAAAAUUCGUCCAAAAUUAAGAUUGAAAGGACCCUUUAAAUCAUAUUGUCAGGAUAUUAAUGCUUGCAAAGAAGUGCCUACUACACCUUUUAGAUUGCAUAAUUUUGGUUUGUCUAAAAAAAAAAAAAAAAACUCAAUUCAAUCUGUUUGUUAAACACUAUAGUUUCAGGAACACAAACAUGUAUUCCUGACCCUAUAGUGUUUAACCCAUCAUUCAGGUGGCUUGCCCCCCCCCCCCUCCCAUUAGCCCCCUUAUAAAAGUUUAAAACUCACCUUAUUUCCAGCGUCACGCGGGUCUGCCGGCGCUGGCUCUGCCCCCUUUGUGACAUCAUCAAAAUGACCGAUUUUUGGCGAGUCCAAUGCUUUCCCAUAGAGUACGCUGUGCAGAAUAUCAACAAGUGUGACCUGCUACCCAUCCCCCUCAAUCAAAGACAGUGAUUUUGGGACACAGUCGAAUGUGAUAGGUGCCACUUUAACCCAAAAGCCUUAAUCGUGAUUUCGAUUUUACCCUAUUUUUAUAAUCUUGAGUAUAACUGCAUCUAGGUUUUUAGUAUAUAUACUUGUUUUAACUAUUUUCUAAUCUCUCCCCUUUUUUCUAUUACCAUAUCUACAUGCGACAUGUCAUUAUUUUCUCCUGUUUGUUAUAUAAGCGCCCUUUUUUCCUAUGUGGCAAUUCUGUUGCAUUAUGUAAAUGAUAACUGCCUAAUAAUGUAUCCAGAACUAUCUAUUUAAUGCUGUAAAUAGUAAUUAAUUUUGCUUCUAAGGAUAAUGCUGUUUUUGAAGAAGCUGUACUUCAUAUGGAUCAUCUAUUGUGCACAAAGUCGUUAUGGUACUUUUCCAUGUUUUUCUUUCUUUCAGUGUGGUAUCUUGUAUCUUUUCAGAGUAUACUUUUGUAUCAAAUUAAUUGGCUCCUUGUAGGGGUGGAUCUUGCACUUAUUGGUGUAAUUACUAGGGUAUUUAAGCUGUAUUUGGUUAUUUGGAUCUCAGGUUUGACAAUGACACUGCCGAUGCUCUCACCUUCCCUCAGAAGCUGCAGGCUAGACUUCAC